This is a long non-coding RNA of Aethalodelphis obliquidens (Pacific white-sided dolphin), 469 nucleotides long. RefSeq lists it as uncharacterized. The record is from RefSeq and is a predicted model, not a curated record. The transcript is spliced from 2 exons. NCBI's taxonomy places the organism in Eukaryota, Metazoa, Chordata, Mammalia, Artiodactyla, Delphinidae.
CAGUUCUAAGAGGGAAGUUUAUAAUGAUACAAGCCUACCUCAAGAAACUAGAAAAAUCUCAAAUGAACAACCAGACCUUACAUGUAAAGUAACUAGAAAAGGAAGAACAAACAAAACCCAAAGUUAGUAGAAGGAAAGAAAUAAUAAAGAUCAGAGCAGAAAUAAAUGAAAUAGAGACUAAAAAAAAUAGAAAAGGUUAAUGAAACUAAGAGGUGGUUUCUUGAAAAUAGAAGCAAAAUUGAUAAACCUUUGGACAGACUUAUCAAGAAAUAAAAAAGAGACCCCCCCCAAAAUAAAAUUAGAAAUGAAAGAGGAGAGGGACUUCCUUGGUGGUCCAGUGGGUAAGAGUCCACGCUCCCAGUGUAGGGGGCCCGGGUGUGAUCCCUGGUUGGGGAACUAGAUCCUGCACGUGUGCCGCAACUAAAGAUCCCCUGUGCUGCAACUAAGACCUGAUGCAGCCAAAGUAAAU